RNA transcript from Cherax quadricarinatus, 6384 nucleotides. It is a transcript of the gene named regulation of nuclear pre-mRNA domain-containing protein 1B, with no coding region annotated. NCBI's taxonomy places the organism in Eukaryota, Metazoa, Arthropoda, Malacostraca, Decapoda, Parastacidae. The record is from RefSeq and is a predicted model, not a curated record.
AUCUGAACGAUGAUGACGUGUGUUGUGGAGCCUAGAGGAAGCUACACAAACAACAGAGUUCCAGAAAAUAUUUUUUUUUGUGCGUGUAGAGGGCGGCAGCCAUGGCCAGUUUCAAUGAGGAUGGACUCAAGAAGAAGCUGGACGACCUCAACAUGUCGCAGCAGUCCAUCCAGACAGUGUCACUGUGGUUAAUACACCACAAGAAGCAUGCACACAAUGUUGUCAAUGUGUGGUACAGGGAACUAGUCACUGCAACUGAUUCUCGCAAGCUGACAUUCAUGUACCUGGCAAAUGAUGUGAUACAAAACAGUAAGAAGAAAGGCCCAGAGUACAACAAGGAGUUUGGGAACAAGCUUGGUAAAGUGUUCGAGCAUUUAGGAGGCCUACGCUUGGAUGAUAAAUCCAUAAGGGGCCUCAACAGAUUGCUGAAUGUAUGGGAAGAUAGGAGUGUAUUUGAUGCAGAACAGAUCAGCUCAUUCAAAAAAAAUCUAGAGAAAGGGAAAUUGAAGGAGACCACUCCCAAGAAACGAGAACCUAGUGGGAAAGUUGAUACUCCGGUAAACAAAAAACGAAGAGAUAGUUGCAGUGACUCCAUCGAACCAUCGACUACACCUGAACCUAGGGUGCAUAAAGAUAGUGAAGGAGACACAAGCCAGUUUGCCGUCUCACCCCAGUCAUGUACACCACCAAGUGAUCCUCCUGAACCUGAGCAGUUGAUAGAGGCUCUUCAGGAGUUGGAAAAUGCAGCCACAUCUGAUGCUCUUAUUCGUGAGAAGAUUGCUAAUCUUCCUGACGAAGUAUCUGAUGUAACUCUUCUUAAUAAACUACAAGACUUAGCUGCUGGACGAGCCCUUUGUGAGCAGGUGGAAGAAGCACUGUCUAUGCUGGAGGCAUAUAACAAACGCCUGGCAGAAGAGAUGGAGGCGCGAAAAGCAGUGGCUCGUAUGCUACAUGAUUACAUAGCUUACCAAAAGGAUUUACUUGCUCAGGCAGAGGAAACAUUAGAGCAACAUCGUCAAAAACAAAUAAAAGUUAAAAAAGUGAGAGAAGAAUUAAGGGCCCAUCUGCAAAACUUGCCUGAUAUAUCAAAACUACCAAGUAUUCGAAUGGGUGGACUAGCUCCUCUACCAUCUGCUGGCGACCUGUUCACGUGAUCCCUUGGCACACACAAGACUGGACCCUACAGCGUUGUGAACACACACAUUGUGAUACCCGAUUCCAAGAAUUUUUGGAAGGAAUAUCGCUAGUAUUUUCCUGGGUGAAAACUGAGAGGGGGGGCCAGGUAGCAGCCGUUAGCAUGACAUCAUGGCCUGCCGCCACACUCCACAGUGGCUCCUCAGUGCUCACGUAGCUGCCGUGGUGAGAGGAAGUGUUGCACUUUUGUCUCUCAGCCACCCCAUCUUUUGUCCAGUGUUCCCUUUGGUUUUGGGGCUAUACAUGUUUGAUUAUGUGUAAAAGAAAGUCUUUGACACCUGAAACUAUAGCUCAAAUCAUAGGGCUUCACGAAGCUGGGCAACAGACGAAAGAAUAGUGGAGAAUGUUGGUGUGUGUGUGCAUUCAGUGAGGAACUGGGUGCAGCGUUUCAAGGCUAGUGGCGGUGUCAAGUUACCAUCUGCCAAACCUUGGCCUGGCCCCUCGAAGAAGACGAUCUGUUUGUACCUUAACUGUGUUAAAGAAGCAGUUAGAGAGUACACCUAAGAUAACGGCUAGAGGCUUGAAAGAAAAGAACCCACAUCUUUCAGAGGUGUCUGUAAGUACUGUUAACAGAUGCGUAUCAGAACUGGGCCGCAGUAGUCACUGCCAGGUUAAGAAACUGAUCCUCCCAAGCCACAGAAGAAAUGUAGGCUGGAUUAUGCAAAGAAACAUCUUUACUGGAAUCCUCAACAGUGGACUGAAGUACUGUACUUUGGAGUGAUGAAACAACCUUCACUGUUACCUGUAACCGUGGGGGAUGUGUGUACCGGCCCAGAGGCAGUGACCCGCUAGACCCAUGCUACACCUGUGAUACCACCAAACACCCAGACUCGCUCAUGGUUUGGGGGUAUUUCAGUGCUCAGAGUGUUGGUGAACUCAUUGUGCUUCCCAAAAACCAGUAUAUGAACCAGUAUAAUUACCAGGAGUUAUUGUGUGACAAUUUACCUCAGGCAUUUGACAAGUGUGGGGCUAUGGUUUUUAUGUAGGACGGUGCACAGUGUCAUACCGCCAGAUCUGUAGUUCAAUGGUUUAAGGACUGUGAAGUAAGGCUCUUUAAUGACUGACCAGGCAUGCCCCUAGUUUACUGGGCAAGGAUAUCAGUUCCAUCCUGCAGCUGGAGGCUGCUCUACAUGAAGCGUGGAAUAAUAUACCUCCCCAAACCCUCAAGAAUUUGUGUGAGAAUCUUCUUAUGCAGCUGAGGGACAUGAUUUAGUGUAAAGAAUGCAGCACCAAACUUUCAUGGUAGGUGUUUGUGUUUUGGUACGCGUGUGGGGGAGGAAUGGCAUAAUGCCAUGACUAGCACUGUAAAUUAACUGGCAUUUUUUUUUUUACUUUUAUGUACACAAUGAACAAUUUACCAGUCUUUCCCACUCUCAUCACAUACUAUUUGGCUCUCACUCUUUUUACAUAUACACAGUUAGCAUAUGUACCAGCCAUUCCCACUUUCAAUUAUUUUACUGCUGCUCUUGCACUUUUCUUAAAUGUUUCAAGCUUUUCUCUUAUUCAGAUACCAUAUCUCAUUCCUCCCACCCAGCAUAAAAUUUCUGCCUCCAUUUCUUGUCAAUUUAGUGCUUUAUUUGAUUAUAAUAAUAAUCUACCUCCAUUUCAUUGUAUCACCACUUUCACUUUUGACAGAUGGGUCCAUUUAUUCCAUUGUUGACAAGGCCUCACCUAUUUUUUCAUUUGCUCUUCUUUUGCACUCUUAACUUCUCCAUUUUUUCUAUAUAGUGCAUCUAACUUACAUUUUUACAUUCCAGGAACCAAACAUUUGCUAAUUAUUCACUUUUGCCAGAGUUCCACAUAUGUAAGUUGCCCUAUCACUUUUCUUCUUUCACUUAUAAUCAAAUCUCUGCUAUGCCUCAUACACUACUACUACUUUCUUAAAUCUACACCACCCCUUUUUAGCAUCCUCCCAUCACCUUCACAUCUACCUUUUGAUGCUCUCCUACAAUGAUCAGACAUAUCAGUUACUCCUUUAGUAUAUUUACGUUCAAAAGACUGCCCAUAAACCUUUCGUCUACUACAUAGUCCAUUAUUAUAAUCUACAGUGCCUUUUUCUUGCAUAUACAUCCAGUCAAGGAAAACAAGAUUUUCAUUGUGUUUUUUGGCUGUUCAUUGCAGCAUGCAUGUUGUUCCAGGAAGAAGUGCUUAUCAAAAAUAUUUUUCAGGAGAUGCAUUCACUACUGCAAGAAAAGCUUUCCUUGUACAUAUUAUUAUAAGCAUGGGUAAGAACUCAGUUCAUAAGGCCAUGUAGCACCUGGGGAAUAAGAGGCAAUCAAGUUUGAUCCAAGGAAGGGAAGGGUAACUCCAGUGCCUUGGAUCAAGAAACCUUUAGCAUCAAGGCACACUCAAGCCUUGAUCUAACAUACACUAAAUGCCACUAGCAAAAGUCACUGCAUAUAAUGGUUUUACUUUUGGAUGUAGGUUAGUGGCUUGAUGCUCUUCCUUUUCCUCAAUAUGUCCCAAUACCUUUACCUUCAUGGGAUUGCUGGGGUGCCUCGAUGCUGGUGAAGGGCUCUUGAUUCAAGGAACUGGAGCUCCCCUCCCCAUGCGUUAAACCUAUUUACCUCCCAUUCCACAGGAGUUGUAUUACCCUUAUAUGUUUAGCAACUCUCCUUGAAUAUAAUAAUAAUGUGCUAGAGGUUCUAUGAGCAUGGGAUCUUACAUGUGUUAUUCAUCCAUAAUGAUUGCACACUGACAGAUCUUGGAUAUUCAGUUUUAUCAAUGUUUAUGUAUUACAAUUUUUUUAAUGUUUAGCUUCUCGUCUAUGUCUUAAAUGGUGCUGAUGAUUUUUAUUACCAGUAUACAAUUUCAAUAAGAAGCGCCUAACCUGUAGGGUCAUACAGCGCCUGGGUAUUGAGAGGUAAUCAGGCUUGAUCCUAGGAAGGGGAGGGUAGUUCCAGUUCCUUGGAUCAAGAUUGUUUAACCAGCAUUGAAUCACCCACUUAAGGGAGAGGGUACUGAGAAUGUAGCUGUCUUGUGGCCAUUCCUGCAUCAGGUCCAAAAGGUUUUUUCAUGAGUUAGGUAAUAAGAUGCAUCUCCAACUAAUGAGACAUAUUAUUGUUGCAAUAAAACUUCUCAUUAGUUGUGCAUGUGCUGUUUUACUUAACACUGUUGGUAAUUCUACCAGUGUAAAUUCAACUUUUUCAUGGGUUAACAUUUUAUAACACAGAUAACUGCUAUUUCUAAAGAUGUCCAUAUAAAUACUGGUCUAUAAUUUAGUUGGUUUAUAAUUUAGGUAUGUCAUCAGGAACAGGAAGCUUAUGACUUGAUAAAUUAGACCCAUAUGCAACACUUGGGUAUCUUUAUUGAAGAAACAUUUUGCCACACAGUGGCUUCAUCAGUCCUUUACAAAGACGACUGGUGAAGAUCAGAAGGAGUUUGAGAUAAUCAGUCCCUCACCCUGGAGUCUAUGUAAUCAGUCCAUCAAUCUUGAAAAGAUUACAACAUAUAUGUUUUCUCAAUAAAGAUACCCAAGUGUUGCAUAUGUGUCUAAUUUAUCAACUUAUCAGUUUCCUGAAGCAUUUGCCUACAGCUUUUGACUUGUUGAGUUCCCUCUAAAGAAAGAACACAAGGAUGUGGUCACCCAUCAGUUACUUACCUACACCUGAAUAUUCAAGCUAUGCACAUCUGGACAAAUAGUAGCAAUUUGCCUCCCAUUAAUAUCUUUUAUGUAAAUGGACAAAUGGUAGAAAAUUACAUGUUCCAUAUGAACAGAAUAUUGCCAUUAUGGGAAAAAAUGUGAUCAAACAACACACAACAUUUGUGUCUAGUGGGUUACUCAAACAUUUGAGAGGGUUUCUAUUUAAUUUUGGUGGUAGAAUACAUCAGAUCAAAGGCUAUCAUUUAAUAGAAUCUUUACUAUCAGAUUACUUAAAUUUAUUACCAGAAUAUUUAUUUUAAGAGACAUGAUGUUACCAUGAUCAUUUUUAAAUAACAUGAAAUUUCAAGUGCAUUAAUAACAGUGGCUUUGUAGUGUGUGAUUUUUUUCAUAGUAGCUGAGAAACAAUUUAACUUUAAAGUUAUAUUAAUUCUCUUGACUAUAAAAAGAAAGAAUUUCAGUUAUAUUUGUCCUAGUAAUUUCAGCAGCUGGAAUAAUUUGUACAUAGUUUGUGAAAUCCUUAUUUAUUAUAAAGAGUUUAUAAAUAAUGUUUUUUAUUAACUUGUAAUAUUUAUUUCAUGUGCAAAAUAAAUUUUAUUUACUGGGUAAAGUACAAAAAAAUGAGGAUUCUACAAAAAUGUUGAGUGAAGUCAAAAAGAUUUGAGAUAUAUAGUCUCACUUCAUGAUAUUUUGAUACUGAAAUUAUAUAAAUUUACUUUUUAGAGCCACUCACAUCUAAUAUAAGGAAAAGGCAACAAUAUGUAUGAAAGUAAAAGAAAGUUGAGGGGAAAUUCCAAGACUGUCAAAAAAAAGUUAAUAUUAGCCAUACCCUAGCUAAUCAGGGUUUUAAGAGUGAAAGGAACAAUAGCCAAGAUGAUAAAAGAAAGGUUGUGGUGACAGUUGAUGACUGACUUCAUAAAAUAACGAUAAUAAACUAGUGUGUGUAUGUCAUGCCUAAUAAGCCAAGUCAAAUAAACAAGCCAAAUUGUCACAAAAUAUAUUUUUUGAGAAUAUUAUUUUAUGUAUUGAUAUACGACACAAAAUUUACAUGAAGUUUAGUGGUAUGUAAUUUUUUUUUACUGUACCAUCAGGUUCACAUGGAAAAAAAUAAACAAAGUGGCUUAGGUAUCACAUUGUUGUCACCCCUAACAUAUUUUGAAGUACAUAACAUUAUUAUAUUACAUAUAUAUAUUCUAUAUACACUAUACUACACUGAUUGUCAUUAUUACAACUAUUACAUUAAUUAGCACAGUGAUUUGCAACAAUACUACAAUGAUUUGCACAGUGAUACACUGACCUUAUUAUGCUGAAAUUCUGAUUAAAAUAUUAUGCUUUGUGAGCUUACUAACAUCCCAUUUGAAGAUAAACAAAAAAUUACAUGAUAGUAUAGUAUCUGGAAUGAAGUACUGUAAGUUACACUUAAGCUGCAUGUAUAAAUUAUGUGAUUGGUUCAUAUUGUGCUUGUCAAACUACUGUGCAUACACUGGGCCUCUUCAUAGUAGGCCAUUUCACUUCAUUGUCCUCAGGUGAACUAAGGAAUCAAAGAUACAAACGAAGUAAGUCUUUUAUUAAACGACUGUUUUUGAUCA